UCAAUCAAUAAAGGGCAUAUGGUGGAGACCUAGGGACCUAGAGCCGAUGAAGGGCGUGACAACCGACGAUAUGCCUCGGGGAGUAGGACGUAUGCGCUGAUCCGAGGAUUCCCGAAUGGGGCAACCCAAUGCAUUCCUUCUUGAAUUCAUAGAGAAGAGAAAGACAACUUGGUGAACUGAAACAUCUUAGUAGCCAAAGGAAAAGAAAGCAAAAGCGAUUCCCAAAGUAGCGGCGAGCGGAAUGGGAACAGCCUAAAAGGACUUUGACAGUAAUGUAAAGACCAGGUCAUGGGACCAAACAUAUGGCACUGCAUGGAAUGAGAAACGAAACAGCUGAAACCUGUACCAUAGAUGGUGAAAGUCCAGUCGUUGAAUCACUACCAACAACCGCCGUUUGGCUCCCGAGUAGUAUGGGACACGUGAAAUCCCGUAUGAAUUUGCGAGGACCACCUCGUAAGGCUAAAUACUCCUAGGUCACCGAUAGCGAAUAGUACCGCGAGGGAAAGGUGAAAAGAACCCCUUUACGGGGAGUGAAAUAGAACAUGAAACCGUAUGCUUACAAUUUGUGGGAGGAUGAACACAUCUGACCGCAUGCCUGUUGAAGAAUGAUCUGGCGACUUAGAAGAAGUGGCAGGUUAAGAUUUUCCAUCGAAGCCAAAGCGAAAGCAUGUCUGAUAAGGGCUCUCGUCCCUUCUUCUAGACCCGAACCCAGGUGAUCUAACCAUGACCAGAAUGAAGCUUUGGUGAUACGAAGUGGAGGUUCGAACCGACCGAUGUUGAAAAAUCGACGGAUGAGUUGUGGUUAGGGGUGAAAUGCCAAUCGAACUUGGAGCUAGCUGGUUCUCCUCGAAAUGCGUUGAGGCGCAGCGGUUGAUUAUGGGCUUCUAGGGGGUAAAGCGCUGUCUCGGUGCGGGCUGCGAAAGCGGUACCAAUCUGUUGCAAACUCGGAAUACCUAGAACGCUUUCAAUCGGCCAGUGAGACUGCGGGGGAUAAGCUCCGUAGUCAAAAGGGAAACAGCCCAGACCACCAGCUAAGGCUCCUAAAUAAAAGCUAAGUGGCAAAGGAGGUAAAAAUGCAGUGACAAUCAGGAGGUUUGCCUAGAAGCAGCCACCCUUUAAAGAGUGCGUAAUAGCUCACUGAUCAAGCGUUUUCGCGCCGAAAAUGACCGGAACUAAGUUUUUUGCCGAAGCUGUGGCUACAUCACAUAGAUGAUGUAGGGUAGAGGAGCGUUCCGUCCAGGGGGAAGCCAAGCGCGUAAGCCGCGGUCGACAGGACGGAAGUGAGAAUGUCAGAUUGAGUAACGUAAACAUUGGUGAGAAUCCAAUGCCCCGAAAACUCAAGGGUUCCUGCGCAAGGCUCGUCCGCGCAGGGUCAGUCAGGACCUAAGGUGAGGCCGAAAGGCGUAAUUGAUGGCAAGAAGGUUUAUAUUCCUUCACUAGUCUAGGCUUAGUCCUGAGGGACGAACAAAUAACACUCUACACAACAGCCAUACUUGGCAGUUUGGAUAAACCUGUUGUUGUUUGAUGCUAUUUAUUCCAAGAAAAGCUCAUUCGACUUUGAGUCUAGACUACCUGUACCGUAAACCGACACAGGUGAGUGGGUUGAAUAAACUAAGGGGAGCGAGAUAACUCUCUCUAAGGAACUCGGCAAAUUGGCUCUGUACCUUCGGAAGAAAGAGUGCCCCUCAGGGGGCCGCAGUGAAGAGAUCCAGGCGACUGUUUACCAAAAACACAGGUCUCCGCAAAGUCGUAAGACGACGUAUGGGGGCUGACACCUGCCCAGUGCCAGAAGGUUAAAGAAGUUGGUCAAUCUUUGAUGAAGCUAACAACUGAAGCCCUGGUGAACGGCGGCAGUAACUAUAACUGUCCUAAGGUAGCGAAAUUCCUUGUCGGGUAAGUUCCGACCCGCACGAA
This 1914-nucleotide ribosomal RNA is filed under the name metagenome. RNAcentral's name for it is "bacterial LSU rRNA". It matches the Rfam family "Bacterial large subunit ribosomal RNA", at positions 3 to 1996 of the family's 2925-position model. The record is from RNAcentral.